RNAcentral lists this ribosomal RNA (2391 nucleotides) under Salmonella enterica. RNAcentral's name for it is "partial 23S ribosomal RNA". It matches the Rfam family "Bacterial large subunit ribosomal RNA", at positions 643 to 2925 of the family's 2925-position model. The record is from RNAcentral. Lineage: Bacteria; Pseudomonadati; Pseudomonadota; Gammaproteobacteria; Enterobacterales; Enterobacteriaceae.
AGGUUAACCGUAUAGGGGAGCCGUAGGGAAACCGAGUCUUAACCGGGCGUUAAGUUGCAGGGUAUAGACCCGAAACCCGGUGAUCUAGCCAUGGGCAGGUUGAAGGUUGGGUAACACUAACUGGAGGACCGAACCGACUAAUGUUGAAAAAUUAGCGGAUGACCUGUGGCUGGGGGUGAAAGGCCAAUCAAACCGGGAGAUAGCUGGUUCUCCCCGAAAGCUAUUUAGGUAGCGCCUCGUGAAUUCAUCUCCGGGGGUAGAGCACUGUUUCGGCUAGGGGGCCAUCCCGGCUUACCAACCCGAUGCAAACUGCGAAUACCGGAGAAUGUUAUCACGGGAGACACACGGCGGGUGCUAACGUCCGUCGUGAAGAGGGAAACAACCCAGACCGCCAGCUAAGGUCCCAAAGUCAUGGUUAAGUGGGAAACGAUGUGGGAAGGCCCAGACAGCCAGGAUGUUGGCUUAGAAGCAGCCAUCAUUUAAAGAAAGCGUAAUAGCUCACUGGUCGAGUCGGCCUGCGCGGAAGAUGUAACGGGGCUAAACCAUGCACCGAAGCUGCGGCAGCGAACGUAUCACCCAAGACAACUUUACGGAGUUGACGAUUGACGGAGCGAAGCGACGUCAAAGCGUUCAUUAAAGUCGAGUUGGCUUAGGGAUACGUUCGUUGGGUAGGGGAGCGUUCUGUAAGCCUGUGAAGGUGUGUCGUGAGGCAUGCUGGAGGUAUCAGAAGUGCGAAUGCUGACAUAAGUAACGAUAAAGCGGGUGAAAAGCCCGCUCGCCGGAAGACCAAGGGUUCCUGUCCAACGUUAAUCGGGGCAGGGUGAGUCGACCCCUAAGGCGAGGCCGAAAGGCGUAGUCGAUGGGAAACGGGUUAAUAUUCCCGUACUUGGUGUUACUGCGAAGGGGGGACGGAGAAGGCUAUGUUGGCCGGGCGACGGUUGUCCCGGUUUAAGCGUGUAGGUGUGUGUUCCAGGUAAAUCCGGUUCACUUUAACACUGAGGCGUGACGACGAGGCACUACGGUGCUGAAGCAACAAAUGCCCUGCUUCCAGGAAAAGCCUCUAAGCAUCAGGUAACACGAAAUCGUACCCCAAACCGACACAGGUGGUCAGGUAGAGAAUACCAAGGCGCUUGAGAGAACUCGGGUGAAGGAACUAGGCAAAAUGGUGCCGUAACUUCGGGAGAAGGCACGCUGACACGUAGGUGAAGUGAUUUACUCAUGGAGCUGAAGUCAGUCGAAGAUACCAGCUGGCUGCAACUGUUUAUUAAAAACACAGCACUGUGCAAACACGAAAGUGGACGUAUACGGUGUGACGCCUGCCCGGUGCCGGAAGGUUAAUUGAUGGGGUCAGCGCAAGCGAAGCUCCUGAUCGAAGCCCCGGUAAACGGCGGCCGUAACUAUAACGGUCCUAAGGUAGCGAAAUUCCUUGUCGGGUAAGUUCCGACCUGCACGAAUGGCGUAAUGAUGGCCAGGCUGUCUCCACCCGAGACUCAGUGAAAUUGAACUCGCUGUGAAGAUGCAGUGUACCCGCGGCAAGACGGAAAGACCCCGUGAACCUUUACUAUAGCUUGACACUGAACAUUGAGCCUUGAUGUGUAGGAUAGGUGGGAGGCUUUGAAGUGUGGACGCCAGUCUGCAUGGAGCCGACCUUGAAAUACCACCCUUUAAUGUUUGAUGUUCUAACGUGGACCCGUAAUCCGGGUUGCGGACAGUGUCUGGUGGGUAGUUUGACUGGGGCGGUCUCCUCCUAAAGAGUAACGGAGGAGCACGAAGGUUGGCUAAUCCUGGUCGGACAUCAGGAGGUUAGUGCAAUGGCAUAAGCCAGCUUGACUGCGAGCGUGACGGCGCGAGCAGGUGCGAAAGCAGGUCAUAGUGAUCCGGUGGUUCUGAAUGGAAGGGCCAUCGCUCAACGGAUAAAAGGUACUCCGGGGAUAACAGGCUGAUACCGCCCAAGAGUUCAUAUCGACGGCGGUGUUUGGCACCUCGAUGUCGGCUCAUCACAUCCUGGGGCUGAAGUAGGUCCCAAGGGUAUGGCUGUUCGCCAUUUAAAGUGGUACGCGAGCUGGGUUUAGAACGUCGUGAGACAGUUCGGUCCCUAUCUGCCGUGGGCGCUGGAGAACUGAGGGGGGCUGCUCCUAGUACGAGAGGACCGGAGUGGACGCAUCACUGGUGUUCGGGUUGUCAUGCCAAUGGCACUGCCCGGUAGCUAAAUGCGGAAGAGAUAAGUGCUGAAAGCAUCUAAGCACGAAACUUGCCCCGAGAUGAGUUCUCCCUGAGACUUAGAGUCUCCUGAAGGAACGUUGAAGACGACGACGUUGAUAGGCCGGGUGUGUAAGCGCAGCGAUGCGUUGAGCUAACCGGUACUAAUGAACCGUGAGGCUUAACCUUACA